This 594-nucleotide ribosomal RNA is filed under the name uncultured bacterium. RNAcentral's name for it is "bacterial SSU rRNA". It matches the Rfam family "Bacterial small subunit ribosomal RNA", at positions 247 to 857 of the family's 1533-position model. The record is from RNAcentral.
UGUUGGUGAGGUAGUGGCUCACCAAGGCUAUGACGGGUAGCUGGACCGAGAGGUUGACCAGCCACGAUGGGACUGAGACACGGCCCAUACACCUACGGGUGGCAGCAGUGAGGAAUCGUGCGCAAUGGACGAAAGUCUGACGCCGCGACGCCGCGUGAAGGAAGAAGCUUCUCGGAGUGUAAACUUCUUUUCCAUAGGACGAUUAUGACGGUACUAUGGGAAUAAGCCACGGCUAACUUCGUGCCAGCAGCCGCGGUAAUACGAGGGUGGCAAGCGUUAUCCGGAUUUAUUGGGCGUAAAGAGCGCGUAGGCGGUUUCACCAGUCUUAACAUAAAUCUCAUUGCCUAACAAUGAACCUUGUUAAGAUACUGUGGAACUCGUGGAUGGCAGGGGCAAGCGGAAUUCCCGGUGUAGGGGUAAAAUCCAUUGAUAUCGGGAGGAACACCAAUGGCGAAGGCAGCUUGCUAGGUCAUUUCAGACGCUAAGGCGCGAAAGCGUGGGGAGCGAACGGGAUUAGAUACCCCGGUAGUCCACGCCGUAAACGAUGCUGACUAGCUAUAGGGAGUAUCGACCCUUCUUGUAGUGAAGCUAACG